Molecule: ribosomal RNA, 1346 nt
Filed under: uncultured bacterium
Lineage: Bacteria
Description: bacterial SSU rRNA
Rfam family: Bacterial small subunit ribosomal RNA
Source: RNAcentral
GACGAACGCUGGCGGCGUGCUUAACACAUGCAAGUCGAACGGAAAGGCCCUGCUUUUGUGGGGUGCUCGAGUGGCGAACGGGUGAGUAACACGUGAGUAACCUGCCCUUGACUUUGGGAUAACUUCAGGAAACUGGGGCUAAUACCGGAUAGGAGCUCCUGCUGCAUGGUGGGGGUUGGAAAGUUUCGGCGGCUGGGGAUGGACUCGCGGCUUAUCAGCUUGUUGGUGGGGUAGUGGCUUACCAAGGCUUUGACGGGUAGCCGGCCUGAGAGGGUGACCGGCCACAUUGGGACUGGGAUAUGGCCCAGACUCCUACGGGAGGCAGCAGUGGGGAAUAUUGCACAAUGGGCGGAAGUCUGAUGCAGCAACGCCGCGUGCGGGAUGACGGCCUUCGGGUUGUAAACCGCUUUCGCCUGUGACGAAGCGUGAGUGACGGUAAUGGGUAAAGAAGCACCGGCUAACUACGUGCCAGCAGCCGCGGUGAUACGUAGGGUGCGAGCGUUGUCCGGAUUUAUUGGGCGUAAAGGGCUCGUAGGUGGUUGAUCGCGUCGGAAGUGUAAUCUUGGGGCUUAACCCUGAGCGUGCUUUCGAUACGGGUUGACUUGAGGAAGGUAGGGGAGAAUGGAAUUCCUGGUGGAGCGGUGGAAUGCGCAGAUAUCAGGAGGAACACCAGUGGCGAAGGCGGUUCUCUGGGCCUUUCCUGACGCUGAGGAGCGAAAGCGUGGGGAGCGAACAGGCUUAGAUACCCUGGUAGUCCACGCUGUAAACGGUGGGUACUAGGUGUGGGGUCCAUUCCACGGGUUCCGUGCCGUAGCUAACGCUUUAAGUACCCCGCCUGGGGAGUACGGCCGCAAGGCUAAAACUCAAAGGAAUUGACGGGGCCCCGCACAAGCGGCGGAGCAUGCGGAUUAAUUCGAUGCAACGCGUAGAACCUUACCUGGGUUUGACAUGGAUCGGGAGUGCUCAGAGAUGGGUGUGCCUCUUUUGGGGUCGGUUCACAGGUGGUGCAUGCCUGUCGUCAGCUCGUGUCGUGAGAUGUUGGGUUAAGUCCCGCAACGAGCGCAACCCUUGUUCACUGUUGCCAGCACGUUAUGGUGGGGACUCAGUGGAGACCGCCGGGGUCAACUCGGAGGAAGGUGGGGAUGACGUCAAGUCCUCAUGCCCCUUAUGUCCAGGGCUUCACGCAUGCUACAAUGGCUGGUACAGAGAGUGGCGAGCCUGUGAGGGUGAGCGAAUCUCGGAAAGCCGGUCUCAGUUCGGAUUGGGGUCUGCAACUCGACCUCAUGAAGUCGGAGUCGCUAGUAAUCGCAGAUCAGCAACGCUGCGGUGAAUACGUUCCCGGGGCU